Molecule: long non-coding RNA, 338 nt
Filed under: Trifolium pratense (red clover)
Lineage: Eukaryota; Viridiplantae; Streptophyta; Magnoliopsida; Fabales; Fabaceae
Description: long non-coding RNA (TPRA_LNC013802)
Source: RNAcentral
CCAAAUAGUCUUAUAAUUUUAAAAGAGACAAAAUGAGUUAAUGACUCACUAGUAAAAGCACAAAUUUUGUGCAAGUGAAUAAUAACUUAUUUAAUUUGAGAACUCUCAAGAGAACCGUAUAACUCUCAAGAAAAUUUACCACAAUACCAGCCAUGAAAAUUUUGAGCAGUGAACAAAACAUAAGUUGAAGUCCAGAUAAAGAUCACCUUAUCCAUUGUAACAAAAAAGCUAUUACUUUCCAUUCUCCUACCAAACAAGCAAAUAAAUUUAAGUUUUUAAUAACAAAGUCUAAGCAAUAUCUUCAAAAUAAAUACAAUAUAGCAAAAUGAAAUGUGUUA